Molecule: ribosomal RNA, 1146 nt
Filed under: Aurantiochytrium limacinum
Lineage: Eukaryota; Bigyra; Thraustochytrida; Thraustochytriidae
Description: partial Bacterial large subunit ribosomal RNA
Rfam family: Bacterial large subunit ribosomal RNA
Source: RNAcentral
GGGAUGAGCUGUGGAUAGGGGUGAAAGGCCAAUCAAACUUCGUGAUAGCUGGUUCUCUCCGAAAUGCAUUUAGGUGCAGCGUUGCGUGUUUCUUGCCGGAGGUAGAGCUACUGGAUGGCCGAUGGGCCCUAAAAGGUUACUGACGUCAGCCAAACUCCGAAUGCCGGUAAGUGAGAGCGCAGCAGUGAGACUGUGGGGGAUAAGCUUCAUAGUCGAGAGGGAAACAGCCCAGAUCGCCGGCUAAGGUCCCCAAGUCGUGGCUAAGUGGGAAAGGAUGUGGGACUCCCAAAACAACCAGGAGGUUGGCUUAGAAGCAGCCAUCCUUGAAAGAGUGCGUAAUAGCUCACUGGUCAAGUGAUUCCGCGCCGAUAAUGUAGCGGGGCUUAAGUUAUCCGCCGAAGCUGUGGCAACCUGUGUGGUUGGGUAGGGGAGCGUCGUGUCAGUGGUGAAGCUGCCGGGUGACUGUGUGGUGGAGUUGAUGCGAGUGAGAAUGCAGGCAUGAGUAGCGUGUGACGGGUGGGAAUCCCGUCCGCCGAUUAUCCAAGGGUUCCAGGGUCAAGUUUGUCUGCCCUGGGUGAGUCGGGUCCUAAGGCGAGGCCGACAGGCGUAGUCGAUGGGUAACCAGUUGAUAUUCUGGUACCGGCUUGUCACCGUCCGUGUCGAGGUGUGUGAUGCUAAGCAUGUGAGCUUGUCUUGGGAGUGUUUUUGAUGCUUCUGGGGUGGGUGAGUGUGUGAACCGAUCAUGUAGUAGGCAAGCUGCGGAGGGACGCAGUGAGGUAGCUCAUCCCCGGUGAUGGUUGUCCGGGGCUAAGUGUGUGGACUGUCUGGUAGGUAAAUCCGCUGGGCGUGAAGGUUGAGGCAUGAUGGGGAGCCCAUGGUUGUGGGUGAGUGAGUGAUCCUGUACUGUCGAGAAAAGCUUCGUGAGCGAGGUGGCGGGUCCGCCCGUACCCUAAACCGACACUGGUGGAUAGGUAGAGUAUACCGAGGCGAUCGAGUGAAUCGUGGUGAAGGAACUCGGCAAAAUGCCCCCGUAACUUUGGGAUAAGGGGGACCUGAGCUGUCGUGCACCCGUGCGGUGUGGUGGCGGUGAGGGGCGCAGAGUCCAGGGGGAAACGACUGUUUACCAAAAACACAGGUCCGUGCGAA